RNAcentral lists this ribosomal RNA (301 nucleotides) under uncultured bacterium. Its description in RNAcentral is "partial 16S ribosomal RNA". It matches the Rfam family "Bacterial small subunit ribosomal RNA", at positions 509 to 807 of the family's 1533-position model. The record is from RNAcentral.
CAGCCGCCGCGGUAAUACGAAGGGGGCUAGCGUUGCUCGGAAUCACUGGGCGUAAAGGGUGCGUAGGCGGGUCUUUAAGUCAGAGGUGAAAUCCAGGAGCUCAACUCCAGAACUGCCUUUGAUACUGAGGAUCUUGAGUUCGGGAGAGGUGAGUGGAACUGCGAGUGUAGAGGUGAAAUUCGUAGAUAUUCGCAAGAACACCAGUGGCGAAGGCGGCUCACUGGCCCGAUACUGACGCUGAGGCACGAAAGCGUGGGGAGCAAACAGGAUUAGAUACCCGGGUAGUCCCUGUCUCUUAUAC